This 240-nucleotide unclassified non-coding RNA is filed under the name soil metagenome. RNAcentral describes it as "partial contains 5.8S ribosomal RNA, internal transcribed spacer 2, and large subunit ribosomal RNA". The record is from RNAcentral.
AAGACUAUAGACCUGCGGAGUACCUGCGGAAGGAUCAUUACAGAAAUAAACUUGAUGGAUUGUUGCUGGCUCACAGAGUAUCGUGCACGUCCGUCAUUUUUAUCUUUCCACCAUGUGCACUCCGCAUAGGUCUGAACUUGCUCACAAAGGCGACUUUGUGUCUUUGGGAAUUGCAGAUUCACGUCUGCUCUCUCCCUAUCUUUCAGGCUCUGUGUUUUUUUCUUACACACACCAUGUAUG